GGUUGUGGCUCAGCCGUAUAGCUCUCAACUUGCAUGUGCGAGGUCCUGGGUUCGAUCCUCAGCACCA
RNAcentral lists this transfer RNA (67 nucleotides) under Marmota monax (woodchuck). RNAcentral's name for it is "tRNA.Ala". The record is from RNAcentral. Lineage: Eukaryota; Metazoa; Chordata; Mammalia; Rodentia; Sciuridae.